GACGAACGCUGGCGGCGUGCUUAACACAUGCAAGUCGAACGGAAAGGCCCUGCUUUUGUGGGGUGCUCGAGUGGCGAACGGGUGAGUAACACGUGAGUAACCUGCCCUUGACCUUGGGAUAACUUCAGGAAACUGGGGCUAAUACCGGAUAGGAGCUCCUGCUGCAUGGUGGGGGUUGGAAAGUUUCGGCGGUUGGGGAUGGACUCGCGGCUUAUCAGCUUGUUUGUGGGGUAGUGGCUUACCAAGGCUUUGACGGGUAGCCGGCCUGAGAGGGUGACCGGGGAAAGUGGGACUGAGAUACGGACGAGAGUGCUAGGGGAGGGAGCAGUGGGGAAUAUUGCAGAAGGGGGGGAAGGCUGAUGGAGAAAGGCGGGGGGCGGGAUGACGGGCUUGGGGUUGUAAAGGGGGUGAGGGUGUGACGAAGCGUGAGUGACGGUAAUGGGUAAAGAAGCACCGGCUAACUACGUG
This 468-nucleotide ribosomal RNA is filed under the name uncultured bacterium. Its description in RNAcentral is "partial 16S ribosomal RNA". It matches the Rfam family "Bacterial small subunit ribosomal RNA", at positions 28 to 507 of the family's 1533-position model. The record is from RNAcentral.